CCUACGGGUGGCAGCAGUAGGGAAUAUUGCUCAAUGGAGGAAACCCUGAAGCAGCAACGCCGCGUGGAGGAUGACGGUUUUAUGAGUGGUAACUCCUUUUUUGAUGGAAGUUAAUUACGGUAUCUCACGAAUAAGCUCCGGCUAACUCCGAGCCAGCAGCCGCGGUAAUACGGAGGGUGCAAGCGUUACUCGGAAUCACUGGGCGUAAAGAGUGCGUAGGCGGGUUUGUAAGUCAGUUGUGAAAUCCUGUAGCUUAACUGUAGAACUGCAUUUGAAACUAUGAGUCUAGAGUGUGGGAGAGGUAGGUGGAAUUCUUGGUGUAGGGGUAAAAUCCGUAGAUAUCAAGAGGAAUUCUCAUUGCGAAGGCGACCUACUGGAACAUUACUGACGCUCAUGCACGAAAGCGUGGGGAGCAAACAGGAUUAGAUACCCCAGUAGUC
This 440-nucleotide ribosomal RNA is filed under the name uncultured bacterium. RNAcentral's name for it is "partial 16S ribosomal RNA". It matches the Rfam family "Bacterial small subunit ribosomal RNA", at positions 338 to 795 of the family's 1533-position model. The record is from RNAcentral.